Molecule: unclassified non-coding RNA, 721 nt
Filed under: Hevea brasiliensis (rubber tree)
Lineage: Eukaryota; Viridiplantae; Streptophyta; Magnoliopsida; Malpighiales; Euphorbiaceae
Source: RNAcentral
GGCCGAUUGGUGCAGAUAUUUAUGUUGGUGUUUAACUGACUGGUUUCUGAGGUGUAUUGUUAGACGGCAAGCAGUUUAAUUUGAGUUUGAUAUUAAGUUGGGUUGGUUGCUGACAGAUUUUGGUUUACUAUGCAUUCUAUAGGCAUGGCAAAGCUUGUGGAUAAAAAUACUAUAGUAAGCACUCCAAUUAUGGAUAUAGGGAUUGUGAGUUGACCAGAAUUUUGUAACACAAUAUUUUCAAUCCAGUUGAAGUCUGUUGUUAUAGCUUAGUGGAGGAUAGUGGAGGAGAUAUUCAUUAUGCGACCUUUUAUUAAAUAAUAUGUUGUAAACAAUGCCAUUUUGGUUGUGACAUUACUCUCAGGAUUCUUAAUUUAUGAUGAUCACUAACAUCUGGACAUUCAGUAUUUGUUGGUGAAUAUACUUCUCAUUAUGAAACUCUCUCUUAAGGGAAAGAGACUAUUCUAAAGAAAACUGACCGCAUAUUUCUGAAUAUUGGACAAGGUUGGAGAAGAUUAUAGCUACAAUUCAUGGGAAGAAUUUUCUUCAUGUAGAUGCUAAGCAACAAUCAUGUCAUGAAUGGCACAAGAAAAAUGUGAUCAUCAUCUUGAUUAGUUCUAAGUUUCCAACCAUUGUGAAAAGAGAUAUUUCAAAGGUUAGUGAUAAACCUCUUGUACACAUUUGUUUGAAACAAACAAUUUGUUACAUACUAUAGAAAGAAAUA